UUUUUUGGUCUUGUAAUUUACAGGAAGCAGUACGCCGUCUUCACAACUCGGAGACAAACUGUAGCAGGCGCUACGAACCAGAGCAAGGAUAACUCUGUUGUAUAAGGACAUAGAUACUUAAUAGAUACCGAUUUUAACCGUACUUUUUUUUUUUUUUUUUUACACACUAACCUCGCCUCAUAACGAGGCUGUGACCUAUAUUUGCUCGGAGCUAUGUCUGCAAGUCCAGAUUUACGCUGAUAAUGACACCAUUGUGUCUGCCUGUAAGACAUAUUACGAGACAGCACGCAGGAGCUUCAGCUAGAAACAACCAGAUGUGGCAUUGCGGGCAGAAGCUGUGAAGAGUUCAGCUCGGAGUGGGUCCAGAAGAAAAGUGGCUGCUGGAAGUGAGACAGAGUGUGCUGAGGUGGGCAUUUGGAAGUGCGCCACCAUGGACAAUGCACCACAGACGUCUGCAAAAUGGACCGAAUUCAGACCGAAUGCUGCCGGUUACCAACAGCUCCGAGGCGGCAGCGGGUUAGGUGUGGACGGUGCUGCUCCUUGUGAGUGUGGGAUAUUGUGUGUGCUGUGUGUCUCCGAUGCUUUGUACAUAGUUUUUUUUCUAAUUGCGUU
Perca flavescens (yellow perch) is the source of this 612-nucleotide long non-coding RNA. RefSeq lists it as uncharacterized. Lineage: Eukaryota; Metazoa; Chordata; Actinopteri; Perciformes; Percidae. The record is from RefSeq and is a predicted model, not a curated record. The transcript is spliced from 3 exons.